RNAcentral lists this long non-coding RNA (1787 nucleotides) under Lynx pardinus (Iberian lynx). Lineage: Eukaryota; Metazoa; Chordata; Mammalia; Carnivora; Felidae. The record is from RNAcentral.
UUUUUGCAAAUUGAGAUUUUUAGCAUCUUCUUUCCAAAUCAAAACUAUUUGUUACUAUGCUUUUUGUUUUGAAAGUAGUAUCAAGGGCUGUAUUUGCAUAAGCAACUGUAGGUCUCCAAAACCAUGUCUUGGUUUAAUUAUUGGGCAGCAGAUUAGAGACUGUGCUGCAUCAAAUUUAGAAUAAAUCAACAAUUGUGAUUUUUAAAAUGUUUUAACUUUGGAGGAGUUGGGACUGUGUCAUUCAUUGAUCUUUAUGUUAAUAUGUAGUAUUUGAGAUAUUUUGCUAUUUCAACUACAGAACUCUGCAGUCAUUUUUAGGGUUUAUUUUUAAAUGUAUCAGAACUGCAGUGUCUUACUAUAUUUUGUAAUCAUUCUUCUAAUAUUUAUUUUUGAGAGAGAGAGAGACCAAGCAAGUGAGCACGGGAAGGAGAGAGGGAGAGAGAGAAUCCCAAGCAGGCUCCACUCUGGCAGUGCAGAGCCUGACACAGGGCUCCAACUCAACAAACUGAGAUCAUGACCUGAGCUGAAAUCAAGAGUCAGACGCUUAACCCACUGAGCCACCCAGGUGCCCCAAUAUGUUACAAUCAUUUCUAAGGCCACCUGUAAAUGUCUGAUGUUAUAGAGAAGACCCCAGAAAAAGCCUUCAGUGAAGAAGAAAGAAAACAAAACAAAACAUACCACACAUGUAGCUUCAUCAAAUUUGUUUCCCCAAAUGUAGACAUUAGAGAGUAUGGGGUUUGUUUUCAUGGACUGUGAAAGUGCAACAAGUCCUUCUCCCUUUAUGUUGUUGUUGACUACUGACAACCUAGGGAGAAACAAGAAGUAAUAACCCUGGAAACCAGUAAAUAAUUUCACAAAGAAGAUGCGUAAGUUAGCCAACAUUUAUUACAUUUCUUUCUAAGUUUGUUAUUUUAAGAGAGGGGGAGAUAGAGGAUCCGAAGUAGGCUCUGCACUUACAGCAGAGAGCUCGAUGCAGGGCUCGAACGCACGAAGCCUGACAUGACCUGAGCCGAAGUUGGUCACUUACCCCACUGAGCCACCCAGGCACCCUUGUUGAAUUUUAUGCUGUAAAAUCUUGGCAUUACUCUUCAGCAUCUGAUGUAAUCCUAAAAUCCAAGAAACUUAGUUCUCUAAUUGGAUGCUUCAUGUACCUAGUAGAGCUACCUACAUUUUAGAAUCAAUAGGCUGUUUUAUAUCAUUCAGUAAAUGUUUGGGGUGGAUUACAAAUACACCCUUCAGGAUUAAGUCAUCCAAGUAGUAUUUUUUUUAUUUUUUAAGUCUUGGUCAUAUUGAAUGAUUGUGAUUUUUCUAUAGAAUUCAGGGUAAAUACUAUAGGCAGUAAGAAUUCUCUCAGUCUUGAAUCGAUCAUAAUUAGAAUCAAUAUAAUUUUUAAUAGACAUUACUUUUGGGGAUGCCUGGGUGGCUCAGUUGGUUAAGUGGCCAACUUCGGCUCAGAUCAUGAUCUCGUGGUUCGUGAGUUCGAGCCCCACGUCAGACUCUGUGCUAACAGCUCAGAGCCUGGAGCCUGCUUCAGAUUUGUGUCUCCCUCUCCCUCUGCCCCCUCCCCUGCUCACACUCUGUGUGUGUCUCUCUCUCUCUCUCGCUCAAAAAUAAACAUUAAAAAAAAAAAAAAAGACAUUACUUUUGAAAAAGAAAUUGAAAUGUUUAAUAUGUCAGUUUAGAAACUAUUUUUAUAUUUCAUCAUGCAUCUUGAGUUAAAGGGCUUGAGGUUAGUGUUUUAAAGGUUUAAAUUUUUGUUAUUUUGAUUAAAUAUAUAGCGAUACUAA